Molecule: transfer RNA, 69 nt
Filed under: Dipodomys ordii (Ord's kangaroo rat)
Lineage: Eukaryota; Metazoa; Chordata; Mammalia; Rodentia; Heteromyidae
Rfam family: tRNA
About the family: Transfer RNA (tRNA) molecules are approximately 80 nucleotides in length. Their secondary structure includes four short double-helical elements and three loops (D, anti-codon, and T loops).
Source: Rfam by way of RNAcentral
UGUGUGGCUUAGUGGUAGAGUGCUUGCCUAGCAUGCAUGAAGCCCUGGGUUUGAUUCCAAGUAUCACAU